This is a long non-coding RNA of Rosa rugosa (rugosa rose), 294 nucleotides long. RefSeq lists it as uncharacterized. The transcript is spliced from 3 exons. Lineage: Eukaryota; Viridiplantae; Streptophyta; Magnoliopsida; Rosales; Rosaceae. The record is from RefSeq and is a predicted model, not a curated record.
GGUAGUAGAUCCUUAUAGGAGUUCCCUAACACCUAAAAUGGUGGAGUGUUUGGUCUGCUCAAGUGAUUGGCUGAGGGCUACACAAACUAACUUCUACAAGGAACCAACUGUGAGUGAGCUGGAGAUGUAUCGAGAGCUUGAAGCAAUGGAAAGAGAAACUGCUGGACUAAGAUUGGAUGAACCAAGCUCUUCUACGACCACUGCUGCAACAUAAAGAAGGCUGCUGCAUCAAGUUUCCAAUACAAAGUAUGUAAUAUAAAUGUUCUGAAACUGUGUAGCAGCAGCAAAGUAAUG